RNAcentral lists this transfer RNA (73 nucleotides) under Ixodes scapularis (black-legged tick). It matches the Rfam family "tRNA". From Rfam's summary of the family: Transfer RNA (tRNA) molecules are approximately 80 nucleotides in length. Their secondary structure includes four short double-helical elements and three loops (D, anti-codon, and T loops). The record is from Rfam by way of RNAcentral. Lineage: Eukaryota; Metazoa; Arthropoda; Arachnida; Ixodida; Ixodidae.
UCCUGGUUAGUUCAGUUGGUCGAGCGUUCCACUGGAAAUGAAGAAGUCUCUGGAUUGAUACCAGAACCAGGUG